This 427-nucleotide ribosomal RNA is filed under the name uncultured bacterium. RNAcentral's name for it is "partial 16S ribosomal RNA". It matches the Rfam family "Bacterial small subunit ribosomal RNA", at positions 355 to 774 of the family's 1533-position model. The record is from RNAcentral.
UGGGGAAUAUUGCACAAUGGGCGCAAGCCUGAUGCAGCCAUGCCGCGUGUAUGAAGAAGGCCUUCGGGUUGUAAAGUACUUUCAGCGGGGAGGAAGGUGUUGAGGUUAAUAACCUCAGCAAUUGACGUUACCCGCAGAAGAAGCACCGGCUAACUCCGUGCCAGCAGCCGCGGUAAUACGGAGGGUGCAAGCGUUAAUCGGAAUUACUGGGCGUAAAGCGCACGCAGGCGGUAUGUCAAGUCGGAUGUGAAAUCCCCGGGCUCAACCUGGGAACUGCAUCCGAAACUGGCAGGCUUGAGUCUUGUAGAGGGGGGUAGAAUUCCAGGUGUAGCGGUGAAAUGCGUAGAGAUCUGGAGGAAUACCGGUGGCGAAGGCGGCCCCCUGGACAAAGACUGACGCUCAGGUGCGAAAGCGUGGGGAGCAAACA